AUUGAACGCUGGCGGCAUGCUUUACACAUGCAAGUCGAACGGUAACAGGCCACAAGGUGCUGACGAGUGGCGAACGGGUGAGUAAUGCAUCGGAACGUGCCCAGUCGUGGGGGAUAACGCAGCGAAAGCUGUGCUAAUACCGCAUACGAUCUAUGGAUGAAAGCGGGGGACCGUAAGGCCUCGCGCGAUUGGAGCGGCCGAUGUCAGAUUAGCUAGUUGGUGGGGUAAAGGCCCACCAAGGCGACGAUCCGUAGCUGGACUGAGAGGAAGACCAGCCACACUGGGACUGAGACACGGCCCAGACUCCUACGGGAGGCAGGAGGGGGGAAUUUUGGACAAUGGGCGCAAGCCUGAUCCAGCAAUGCCGCGUGCAGGAAGAAGGCCUUCGGGUUGUAAACUGCUUUUGUACGGAACGAAACGGUCUGGGUUAAUACCCUGGGCUAAUGACGGUACCGUAAGAAUAAGCACCGGCUAACUACGUGCCAGCCGCCGCAGUAA
RNAcentral lists this ribosomal RNA (498 nucleotides) under uncultured bacterium. RNAcentral describes it as "partial 16S ribosomal RNA". It matches the Rfam family "Bacterial small subunit ribosomal RNA", at positions 29 to 523 of the family's 1533-position model. The record is from RNAcentral.